AGUCUUCAGGGCGAGGUGUAAGUCCUCACCGGCGGUAUAGCCCGCGAGCUAAGUUUUUAGUUGAUUCGGUUAAAUUCCGGAGCCGACAGUAUAGUCUGGAUGAGAGAAGAU
RNAcentral lists this non-coding RNA (111 nucleotides) under uncultured Clostridium sp. RNAcentral describes it as "FMN riboswitch (RFN element)". It matches the Rfam family "FMN riboswitch aptamer (RFN element)". Rfam says of the family: The RFN element is a highly conserved domain that is found frequently in the 5'-untranslated regions of prokaryotic mRNAs that encode for flavin mononucleotide (FMN) biosynthesis and transport proteins. Lineage: Bacteria; Bacillati; Bacillota; Clostridia; Eubacteriales; Clostridiaceae. The record is from RNAcentral.